Molecule: long non-coding RNA, 1163 nt
Filed under: Sus scrofa (pig)
Lineage: Eukaryota; Metazoa; Chordata; Mammalia; Artiodactyla; Suidae
Description: lncRNA (ENSSSCG00050026380.1)
Source: RNAcentral
AAAAAAAAAAAAAGGUUUAUCUCCUGCCUGCCUGGGAGAGAGGAAGAAGGAAGAGGAAAUGGGGAAGAAGGAACAGGAAGGGGGCUUGUUAAUGGAUUCACCCCUGCGUGGUCUUUGCCCCCACCUGGGAGACCCCAGUGAGCUCUGAUCUCAGAGACAGUGUAGGGAAGAACGGAGGCCAGAGGGUGGAGCCCAGUGUUCUUGUGAGGACGAGUGAAUUGGCACAAGUAAGGCACUUAGAAUGGUACCUGUUUAAUCAAGGUCAGCUCUUUCUUUCUCAGAGAUUUUGGCUUCCCCUCUCCACCACUUCCCUCCCGUUCCUCAAGACAAUGAGCAAUUAUCUAUUGGCCUCAAGGAACUUCUAGCUUAUUUUCCGCCUGUUCCCAUCUUCUAUGUUGUAAUGUGACUUUUGGAUGUGUGGAGCUAUGCUGGGAGUUAUAUAUCCUGAAGUUUCGAUGUGCAGUUUUUUCUGGGGUGGAUCACAUGGCCUUUGGUAUCAUAACUGGGCUUCCUUGGUGGGGUUUUAUUCUUCAGCAGACUUUUCUGGCAUCAUCCCUUCCCCCCUCUUCACUAAGUGCUUCCUGACUAUUCGCUUGAACAGCCAAGAAGAAGGAUAAAUACUUCAAGCUGAUUACGAUGUACUUUGAUUUGUGGUCAUCUCUCUUCUUGAGGGGGCGCACCUGUGGCAUAUGGAGUUUCCCAGGCAAGGGGGUGAAUCAGAGAUACAGCUGCCAGCCACAGCCACAGCCAGGCGGGAUCCGAGCUGCUUCUUCGACCUACACCACAGUUCACGGCAACACCAGAUACUUAACCCAUUGAGCUAAGGCCAGGGAUUGAACCCAAAACCUCAUGGUUCCCAGUCGGAUUCGUUUCUGCUGCGCCACGACGGUAACUCCCUGUGAUCAUCUCUUUUCAAGUGUUUUCAGGAUGCAUUCUUUUAUCCUUACUAAGCUAUAGAGAUCUGGUAGGCAAUGCCAUUAGACAAGCAGGCUGUUCUNGCUAAUCUAAUAUUUGAACUUAACCUAUAGAUGUGAAGAGCAGACAGCUAAGGUUUCUCUUUUUAAGAAUUGACUAACCAAGGCCUGGCUGAGUCACCUGCUUGACUAACCUUUGAGACAGAGAAGCCAGACCUCUAAGUAGCAAUUGAACACCAUGCCACAUCC